GAGGAAAGAGGGAGGCGUGCUUAACACAUGCAAGUCGAACGGAAAGGCUCCUGCUUGCAGGGGUACUCGAGUGGCGAACGGGUGAGUAACACGUGGGUGAUCUGCCCUGCACUUCGGGAUAAGCCUGGGAAACUGGGUCUAAUACCGGAUAGGACCACAUUUUGGAUGGUGUGGUGGAAAGUUUUUCGGUGUGGGAUGAGCUCGCGGCCUAUCAGCUUGUUGGUGGGGUAAUGGCCUACCAAGGCGUCGACGGGUAGCCGGCCUGAGAGGGUGUACGGCCACAUGGGGACUGAGAUACGGCCCAGACUCCUACGGGAGGCAGCAGUGGGGAAUAUUGCACAAUGGGCGCAAGCCUGAUGCAGCGACGCCGCGUGGGGGAUGACGGCCUUCGGGUUGUAAACUCCUGUCGCUAGGGACGAAGCGCAAGUGACGGUACCUGGAGAAGAAGCACCGGCUAACUACGUG
This 465-nucleotide ribosomal RNA is filed under the name uncultured bacterium. Its description in RNAcentral is "partial 16S ribosomal RNA". It matches the Rfam family "Bacterial small subunit ribosomal RNA", at positions 38 to 507 of the family's 1533-position model. The record is from RNAcentral.